RNAcentral lists this ribosomal RNA (254 nucleotides) under uncultured bacterium. RNAcentral describes it as "partial 16S ribosomal RNA". It matches the Rfam family "Bacterial small subunit ribosomal RNA", at positions 524 to 776 of the family's 1533-position model. The record is from RNAcentral.
UACGUAGGGUGCGAGCGUUGUCCGGAAUUAUUGGGCGUAAAGAGCUCGUAGGCGGUGUGUCACGUCGGCCGUGAAAACCUGCAGCUUAACUGUGGGCGUGCGGUCGAUACGGGCAUCACUGGAGUUCGGCAGGGGAGACUGGAAUUCCUGGUGUAGCGGUGAAAUGCGUAGAUAUCGGGAGGAACACCUGUGGCGAAGGCGGCCCCCUGGUUGGAUACUGACGCUGAUACGCGAAAGCGUGGGGAGCAAACAGG